This 475-nucleotide ribosomal RNA is filed under the name uncultured bacterium. Its description in RNAcentral is "SSU rRNA". It matches the Rfam family "Bacterial small subunit ribosomal RNA", at positions 26 to 521 of the family's 1533-position model. The record is from RNAcentral.
AGGACGAACGCUGGCGGCGCGCCUAACACAUGCAAGUCGAGCGAUAACCAGGGCUUGCCCUGGGGACAGCGGCGAACGGGUGCGUAACACGUGAGCAACCUGCCCCAAAGACCGGGACAACCCGAGGAAACUCGGACUAAUACCGGAUGCCCUCACCGGGUCGCAUGGUCUGGUGAGGAAAUGGAUUCCGCUUUGGGAUGGGCUCGCGGUCUAUCAGCUUGUUGGUGGGGUAACGGCCUACCAAGGCGACGACGGAUAGCUGGUCUGAGAGGACGAUCAGCCACACUGGGACUGAGACACGGCCCAGACUCCUACGGGAGGCAGCAGUGGGGAAUCUUGCGCAAUGGGGGAAACCCUGACGCAGCGACGCCGCGUGCGGGAUGAAGGCCUUCGGGUUGUAAACCGCUUUCAGCAGGGACGAAAUUGACGGUACCUGCAGAAGAAGGCCCGGCAACUACGUGCCAGCAGCCGCGGU